GACGAACGCUGGCGGCGUGCUUAACACAUGCCAGUCGAGCGGAAAGGCCCUUCGGGGUACUCGAGCGGCGAAAGGGUGAGUAACACGUGAGUAAUCUGCCCUUGGCUUUGGGAUAACUACCGGAAACGGUGGCUAAUACCGGAUACGACAACCGUCUGCAUGGGCUGGUUGUGGAAAGUUUUUUCGGCCAGGGAUGUGCUCGCGGCCUAUCAGCUUGUUGGUGGGGUAAUGGCCUACCAAGGCUUCGACGGGUAGCCGGCCUGAGAGGGUGACCGGCCACACUGGGACUGAGACACGGCCCAGACUCCUACGGGAGGCAGCAGUGGGGAAUAUUGGACAAUGGGCGGAAGCCUGAUCCAGCAACGCCGCGUGAGGGAUGACGGCCUUCGGGUUGUAAACCUCUUUCAGUACCGACGAAGCGCCGAUGAUGGUGGUGACGGUAGGUACAGAAGAAGCACCGGCCAACUACG
This 470-nucleotide ribosomal RNA is filed under the name uncultured bacterium. RNAcentral's name for it is "partial 16S ribosomal RNA". It matches the Rfam family "Bacterial small subunit ribosomal RNA", at positions 28 to 505 of the family's 1533-position model. The record is from RNAcentral.